AAUGUUAUCACGGGAGACACACGGCGGGUGCUAACGUCCGUCGUGAAGAGGGAAACAACCCAGACCGCCAGCUAAGGUCCCAAAGUCAUGGUUAAGUGGGAAACGAUGUGGGAAGGCACAGACAGCCAGGAUGUUGGCUUAGAAGCAGCCAUCAUUUAAAGAAAGCGUAAUAGCUCACUGGUCGAGUCGGCCUGCGCGGAAGAUGUAACGGGGCUAAACCAUGCACCGAAGCUGCGGCAGCGACACUAUGUGUUGUUGGGUAGGGGAGCGUUCUGUAAGCCUGCGAAGGUGUGCUGUGAGGCAUGCUGGAGGUAUCAGAAGUGCGAAUGCUGACAUAAGUAACGAUAAAGCGGGUGAAAAGCCCGCUCGCCGGAAGACCAAGGGUUCCUGUCCAACGUUAAUCGGGGCAGGGUGAGUCGACCCCUAAGGCGAGGCCGAAAGGCGUAGUCGAUGGGAAACAGGUUAAUAUUCCUGUACUUGGUGUUACUGCGAAGGGGGGACGGAGAAGGCUAUGUUAGCCGGGCGACGGUUGUCCCGGUUUAAGCAUGUAGGCUGGUUGUCCAGGCAAAUCCGGAUAAUCAAGGCUGAGGUGUGAUGACGAGGCACUACGGUGCUGAAGUAACAAAUGCCCUGCUUCCAGGAAAAGCCUCUAAGCAUCAGGUAACAUUAAAUCGUACCCCAAACCGACACAGGUGGUCAGGUAGAGAAUACCAAGGCGCUUGAGAGAACUCGGGUGAAGGAACUAGGCAAAAUGGUGCCGUAACUUCGGGAGAAGGCACGCUGGUGUGUAGGUGAAGUCCCUGCGGAUGGAGCUGAGACCAGUCGAAGAUACCAGCUGGCUGCAACUGUUUAUUAAAAACACAGCACUGUGCAAACACGAAAGUGGACGUAUACGGUGUGACGCCUGCCCGGUGCCGGAAGGUUAAUUGAUGGGGUUAUCCGUAAGGAGAAGCUCUUGAUCGAAGCCCCGGUAAACGGCGGCCGUAACUAUAACGGUCCUAAGGUAGCGAAAUUCCUUGUCGGGUAAGUUCCGACCUGCACGAAUGGCGUAAUGAUGGCCAGGCUGUCUCCACCCGAGACUCAGUGAAAUUGAACUCGCUGUGAAGAUGCAGUGUACCCGCGGCAAGACGGAAAGACCCCGUGAACCUUUACUAUAGCUUGACACUGAACAUUGAGCCUUGAUGUGUAGGAUAGGUGGGAGGCUUUGAAGCGUGGACGCCAGUCUGCGUGGAGCCAACCUUGAAAUACCACCCUUUAAUGUUUGAUGUUCUAACGUUGGCCCCUGACCGGGGUUGCGGACAGUGUCUGGUGGGUAGUUUGACUGGGGCGGUCUCCUCCCAAAGCGUAACGGAGGAGCACGAAGGUUAGCUAAUCCUGGUCGGACAUCAGGAGGUUAGUGCAAUGGCAUAAGCUAGCUUGACUGCGAGCGUGACGGCGCGAGCAGGUGCGAAAGCAGGUCAUAGUGAUCCGGUGGUUCUGAAUGGAAGGGCCAUCGCUCAACGGAUAAAAGGUACUCCGGGGAUAACAGGCUGAUACCGCCCAAGAGUUCAUAUCGACGGCGGUGUUUGGCACCUCGAUGUCGGCUCAUCACAUCCUGGGGCUGAAGUAGGUCCCAAGGGUAUGGCUGUUCGCCAUUUAAAGUGGUACGCGAGCUGGGUUUAGAACGUCGUGAGACAGUUCGGUCCCUAUCUGCCGUGGGCGCUGGAGAAUUGAGGGGGGCUGCUCCUAGUACGAGAGGACCGGAGUGGACGCAUCACUGGUGUUCGGGUUGUCAUGCCAAUGGCACUGCCCGGUAGCUAAAUGCGGAAGAGAUAAGUGCUGAAAGCAUCUAAGCACGAAACUUGCCCCGAGAUGAGUUCU
This 1860-nucleotide ribosomal RNA is filed under the name Klebsiella pneumoniae. RNAcentral's name for it is "bacterial LSU rRNA". It matches the Rfam family "Bacterial large subunit ribosomal RNA", at positions 968 to 2812 of the family's 2925-position model. The record is from RNAcentral. Lineage: Bacteria; Pseudomonadati; Pseudomonadota; Gammaproteobacteria; Enterobacterales; Enterobacteriaceae.